UGGUGCUGACUUUGUGAAUAAGAUUUCCUUAGCCUCCCCAUCUCGGUUUCCCGACAAUGUCGUCUGCGGCGGUGUAGAUUCCAAUUGGCCCUUCUGGUCGGUGAGCCUAGGCUUUGCAAGAUUUGUGAUGAGGCGACUGCAACUCCCCUUUGCAGUUUGGUCCUUCGUCAUGCCACUUCAGCCUCCGGUGCCACGCGUGAGGCUUGUGAGAAAUUUUAGAGGUCUAGCUCUUGGAUACGCGACUCUUCUGAUGGUGAUGUCUUCUUUUUCAGGGCACUGGUCAGGUAGGAUUUUGGCCUUGGUGUCUUUCCGUCCUCAAUCAACAACGAUGAUGGCACCGACAGUGCGCCAUCAGCCCACUCGAGGAAGACGUUCAGCCUUCUAGGAACCUCGUUGUAAUUUCUUAAUUUUAUUAGAGAUGUUCAUACUAUUGGUUUGGUUCACAUAUCUCAAGGUGCUUUAAAAAAAUCCGAAUAGAAUUAUGGUAUGGAGGUGUGUUUCUUUGUUUCUUUUGUGAUCUUUAGUUUAAUGGGCAGAAUUGUAUAUCCUUCUUAAAAAACUCAAAUAGAAAAAGAGGUGUUAAAU
Molecule: long non-coding RNA, 585 nt
Filed under: Triticum aestivum (bread wheat)
Lineage: Eukaryota; Viridiplantae; Streptophyta; Magnoliopsida; Poales; Poaceae
Description: long non-coding RNA (TAES_LNC028474)
Source: RNAcentral